GGGCUUGUUCCCACAGAAACAUGACGUUAGAGGAUCAUUUUAAUUCAUUGCGUCCUGAGUCAUCAGCUGUGUCGCCACAGCAGAUUGCCAUUCUGCAGGCGAAGGAAUCAGCCUCAGGGGAGACAACUUAAGAGCCAGGAUGCAGGAAAACUAGCAGCAGCGAGGAGAUUUAUAUUGCAUCAUAGCUCAGUGAGAUGGUGAGGGAUUGCGCUGUCGACUGACUGGAGAUAAGGAGUCGCUCUGUGAGGCUGGGGAAGGACAAAGGCCCUGACCAGCCUGCUCACCAGUCCAGCCACGCAGGGACAGGAACACCCAGUGAGGCUGGACCGGCCUGGACAUCAACAGUUCACUGGUGCGGCAGCAGAAAACAACAGGAAGGAAAAACUGAACACAGGAGGAGAAUACAAACGAGCUGCAGAACAGAACCAUUUACUUUGAAGACUUUCUUAUUCCGAGAUAUUGGAAUAAAUUAAAAAGCCAUUUUGGUGUUUUUGCAUGUUUUACACCAUAAAUCAUGUCUUGUAAAUCCAAUUUUUGAUUUUUUUAAGCAUGUUUUCCCACCUUUCAGGGAGUUGCUGAUUUCCAUUAAAUUUCAUUAACAAACAAGCAUCUAAAUUUGCAUAUUCAUGUAAUUCAUCAAAGAGAAGAAGAAAUUGUGUCAUUGCAGCAUGAAGUUGUAAUUAAUACAGGAGAAAAUGGCGUAACCACAAAACUAGCAAAGUGAGUUGUAUAAAAAUAUGCAAAUAACA
Long non-coding RNA from Seriola aureovittata, 749 nucleotides. RefSeq lists it as uncharacterized. The transcript is spliced from 2 exons. The record is from RefSeq and is a predicted model, not a curated record. Lineage: Eukaryota; Metazoa; Chordata; Actinopteri; Carangiformes; Carangidae.